GAUUUCUCAAGGUGUUGCACCUUUCUAGAACGACUCCCCUUUGGAUCUAGUGGUUUAGUUUGCUUGAGCAGUCAUGCACAAAUCACUUGUUGGGAGAAGUUCCACAUCGGCUCAUGGAGGCGGCACGGUGGUCAGUCACGUGGACAGUGCGGACCAACAUUUGUUCCUAUGCUCAGCUCCCCGCAAGGAUUCCCUCAGGUAACAACUCGCAACAAUUAGAUCCUAUUCUAGAGCAUUACAAUAUAUUGUACUUUUGAUGACCACUAUUGUUUCCUAAUAGUUGCCAAUCAGAGAUGAAUGAGUUAAUAAAGGGACAUAUAAUGUACAAAUUUAUGCCCACUGUGAGCUGCUUGACAUAUGAUGCCAAAUUUUGUUAUGUUCUUUGGCUAUUGGGAUGUACUAGCUUUUUUAGUAUUCUAGCAUUCCAGUGGACUUUUCACAGUAGCUACUGCUGCUACUUCUGAAGAUUUGUGUGUUCCUUGAUGAUUCAGAGUGAUGCUCCAGGUCAAAGUAAGAUUAGAAAAACCAUUACUUCAUUUCAAAUAAUUCAGGCAAUAUACUCUAGAUGAAAUCCCUUUUGCAAUUGGAAUUUAUAUAUUAUGUAGUUGUUCAGAAAGGGACGUCCUAUAUAUACUCUAAUGUUUUGUAGCGUGCAAUGAGUGGAGAAAUUCACCCAUAGGACAUAAAUGAUUAUGUAUCUUCCGGUUCUCUGCUCGCCGGUGUUUCAUGGUGGCAUGCAGUUGCCACACCUUCACCCCAGCCUGUUGCCUUGUGCCUCGAGUCAUGCAAUCACUCUGACUACAUAGCGUCUGAAUUCAAGUUAAUGUUGUCUUCAUUUGAUGUUAGGAUUAAGAUGGAUUAGUUGGGAUUUGGAAACAUGGCUAUUCCGAGCAAGGUAAUACAUGAGGUUAUUCCCUUUUUAAGCAUCACCGCAAGGAGGGUCUUAAAGCGAAGCUGUUUGUAUCCUUGUAUGGCAGACGCCUUAGGUAGAGCUUCCGGCACUUAGGGUCUGAAACAAUGAUGAAUCACAAGAUGCAUUUACUGGAAAAUAAUGAUGUAGGCAGAGAAUGAGAGGAAACUGAUUUGUGUUUUUGUUGCCUUUUGUUGCUCGGUUCAGUCAGUUCCUUCUAUUCCAUGUAAAAUGGUAAUACAAUUUUUAAGCCCCAAUGAAGAAAAAAUUAUAGUGAUGUUGGAAUUCGUAUAAAGAAAUUAUCUUUUGG
RNAcentral lists this long non-coding RNA (1220 nucleotides) under Triticum aestivum (bread wheat). RNAcentral describes it as "long non-coding RNA (TAES_LNC002851)". Lineage: Eukaryota; Viridiplantae; Streptophyta; Magnoliopsida; Poales; Poaceae. The record is from RNAcentral.